Drosophila novamexicana is the source of this 389-nucleotide long non-coding RNA. RefSeq lists it as uncharacterized. The record is from RefSeq and is a predicted model, not a curated record. The transcript is spliced from 3 exons. NCBI's taxonomy places the organism in Eukaryota, Metazoa, Arthropoda, Insecta, Diptera, Drosophilidae.
UUGUUUUAAGAAAUUAAGUUUGUCGAAUACAUACUUGGAAAUUUUUUGUCCUCUACUCAAGUGUAAUAAACUGGAAUCCUGUUCUUUCUUAUGUCUGUGCAAACAUAAGUCUGCUGUCCCAUAUUCUCACAGUCUCAGGCGCACCUCAAUGUUCAGUGGCCAUGUGAACAGCCUUGUGGGUCGCCCCUCCAGACGCCCGUUGUGGCUAGGGCCUUAUCAAGUGUUAAUAUUUACAGCGCGUAAUUGCGUCAAUGGCAACAGCAUCGCUUCGUUGACUUCUCCGAAUCACGUGUGCAUUAUUUAAGCACUUUUCCUGAUAACAGGCAGUGCCCACCUUAUCGACAAGCAUGUUUUGGACGGGUUUAUCGUAAGGCCCAUAUCAGAGAGAG